Molecule: ribosomal RNA, 253 nt
Filed under: uncultured bacterium
Lineage: Bacteria
Description: partial small subunit ribosomal RNA
Rfam family: Bacterial small subunit ribosomal RNA
Source: RNAcentral
AGGACGAACGCUGGCGGCGUGCUUAACACAUGCAAGUCGAGCGGAAAGGCCCUUCGGGGUACUCGAGCGGCGAACGGGUGAGUAACACGUGAGCAACCUGCCCCUGACUCUGGGAUAAGCCUAGGAAACUGGGUCUAAUACCGGAUAGUACCCCUCGUUUCAUGGUGGGGGUGGAAAGUUUUUCGGUUGGGGAUGGGCUCGCGGCCUAUCAGCUUGUUGGUGGGGUGAUGGCCUACCAAGGCGACGACGGGUA